This 486-nucleotide unclassified non-coding RNA is filed under the name Hevea brasiliensis (rubber tree). Lineage: Eukaryota; Viridiplantae; Streptophyta; Magnoliopsida; Malpighiales; Euphorbiaceae. The record is from RNAcentral.
UCAUUUCGAUUAAGUCAGAUUGAAGAUGGAGACAUAAUUUGCUUUCAGAAAUCUCCUCCUCUUCAGGGUGAAGAAGAUUGUCGAUACCCAGAUGUGCCUUCAUUUUUGGAAUAUGUGCACAAUCGGCAGAUAGUUCAUUUUCGGUCUUUGGAGAAACCAAAAGAGGAUGAUUUUUGUCUGGAGUUGUCAAAGCUACAUACCUAUGAUGAUGUUGUGGAAAGAGUAGCUCGCCAAAUUGGUUUAGAUGAUUCAUCCAAGAUUAGGUUAACAUCUCACAACUGCUACUCCCAGCAGCCUAAGCCCCAACCAAUUAAAUAUAGAGGAGUGGAGCAUCUAUCAGAUAUGUUAGUUCACUAUAAUCAGACCUCUGAUAUUUUGUACUAUGAAGUUCUGGACAUUCCUCUUCCAGAAUUGCAAGGUUUGAAAAAUCUGAAAGUUGCUUUCCAUCAUGCUACUAAAGAUGAGGUGGUAAUUCAUAAUAUUAGA